GUUUUUAUAGUUGAAUACAACAGGAGUUUUUCAGACUUCAGGUUUAGGUUAGACCCCUAAUAGGAACU
Molecule: transfer RNA, 68 nt
Filed under: Allobates nunciatus
Lineage: Eukaryota; Metazoa; Chordata; Amphibia; Anura; Aromobatidae
Description: tRNA-Glu
Rfam family: tRNA
About the family: Transfer RNA (tRNA) molecules are approximately 80 nucleotides in length.
Source: RNAcentral